GGACGAACGCUGGCGGCGUGCCUAACACAUGCAAGUCAACGGGGAUUUGUUUCGGCAGAAUCCUAGUGGCGAACGGGUGAGUAACGCGUAGGCAACCUGCCCUCCGGCCGGGGACAACACUCCGAAAGGGGUGCUAAUACCGGAUACGAAGUCUGUGCCGCAUGGUACGGAUUUGAAAGAUGGCCUCUAUUUAUAAGCUAUCGCCGGGGGAUGGGCCUGCGUCCGAUUAGCUGGUUGGUGGGGUAACGGCCUACCAAGGCGACGAUCGGUAGCCGGUCUGAGAGGAUGAACGGCCACAUUGGGACUGAGACACGGCCCAGACUCCUACGGGAGGCAGCAGUGGGGAAUCUUCCGCAAUGGGCGCAAGCCUGACGGAGCAACGCCGCGUGAGUGAGGAAGUUCUUCGGAACGUAAAGCUCUGUUGUUCCUGACGAACCUCCCUUCUAUGAACAACGGAGGGGACUGACGGUAGGGAACGAGGAAGCCACGGCUAACUACGUGCCAGCCGCUGC
Molecule: ribosomal RNA, 512 nt
Filed under: uncultured bacterium
Lineage: Bacteria
Description: bacterial SSU rRNA
Rfam family: Bacterial small subunit ribosomal RNA
Source: RNAcentral